AUGAACGCUGGCGGCGUGCCUCAUACAUGCAAGUCGAGCGCACGGACGAGAAGCUUGCUUCUCUGAUGUUAGCGGCGGACGGGUGAGUAACACGUGGAUAACCUACCUAUAAGAUUGGGAUAACUCCGGGAAACCGGAGUUAAUACCGGAUAAUAUUUUGAACCGCAUGGUUCAAAAGUGAAAGACGGUCUUGCUGUCACUUAUAGAUGGAUCCGCGCUGCAUUAGCUAGUUGGUAAGGUAACGGCUUACCAAGGCAACGAUGCAUAGCCGACCUGAGAGGGUGAUCGGCCACACUGGAACUGAGACACGGUCCAGACUCCUACGGGAGGCAGCAGUAGGGAAUCUUCCGCAAUGGGCGAAAGCCUGACGGAGCAACGCCGCGUGAGUGAUGAAGGUCUUCGGAUCGUAAAACUCUGUUAUUAGGGAAGAACAUAUGUGUAAGUAACUGUGCACAUCUUGACGGUACCUAAUCAGAAAGCCACGGCUAACUACGUG
This 496-nucleotide ribosomal RNA is filed under the name uncultured bacterium. RNAcentral's name for it is "partial 16S ribosomal RNA". It matches the Rfam family "Bacterial small subunit ribosomal RNA", at positions 29 to 507 of the family's 1533-position model. The record is from RNAcentral.